GGGUUUGUUAACACGUGUACGCCUGUUUUUCAGUUGGUACGUUUUAACAAUGUGUACCGGAUUAUAGUAGACAAAAAUACCCUCAUUUAUCAUGAAUUCUAAGUUUUAAGGUCAAGGAUAUUUAAAUAAUUUUCAUUCUCAAAACUAAAAAAAAAGAAACCCCGAAACCCUUACUCACCUCCCUCAUUCCUCUCAACCCUUUAUCUUUCAUCUCUCUCCCUCCAACAUUUUCUCUGUCAUCCCUACUGUUGUCCCAAUUGAAAAAAAAAUCAGAAACC
This 278-nucleotide long non-coding RNA is filed under the name Vigna radiata. RNAcentral describes it as "long non-coding RNA (VRAD_LNC009652)". The record is from RNAcentral. Lineage: Eukaryota; Viridiplantae; Streptophyta; Magnoliopsida; Fabales; Fabaceae.